Molecule: long non-coding RNA, 3312 nt
Filed under: Eucalyptus grandis
Lineage: Eukaryota; Viridiplantae; Streptophyta; Magnoliopsida; Myrtales; Myrtaceae
Description: long non-coding RNA (EGRA_LNC005884)
Source: RNAcentral
AAAGAGAGAGGCAGAUGGCGACGUGAUCUGCGGGUCGGGGUCGGCUGGCCAGCGAGCUGGCGGUGGCAGAAGCCAGGCACGUCGGUUGCUGGCCGUUAAAAGGAGAGAGGUCGAAAGAGAGAGGGGUUUUUUUUUCCUUUGUUCGAUUCGGAGAGAGAUCUGAGGGAGCUCGGGAGAGUUUUGAGCCAGCGUGAAGGAGCUAGAGAGAGUGAGCUCGAGAGGGUGGCUGGCCGUCGCCGGAGGUCCGUUCAUUGGCUGCCUUCCGCUGCAGCCCUUCCUCCCGAACCAGGUAGGUCUCCCGUGAGCGUGCCUGUUCCGUUUUUGGGCUUCGGACCGGAGCUCGCAGCCGACCAGUUCGCACAAGUUUUGAUCCCAUUGGUCCUCCAUGAGAGUUUCUGUGUGUUCUAGUAUGCGUUGUUAGGAGCCAAGUCCGUGCUAGGGUCGCUAGUAAAUCUGAGUCCCUCGUUUCAGUAGUGCAUGCCAGCCGUUCGUUGAAAUGCUCGAGUGAAUUUCGCGUCUCUCUAGUGGGUUAUGGCCAAGGUCUGAUGUUGUUGUUCAUACUCAUGUCAAACGCGUAUGAUAUGUCUCCGAGUUAGUCCAGAAUGCUGCUUAUAUGUCUAUAUUCGAGCUUGGUCCGAACCUGUAUAGUUCGUGUUUAAACUAGAUCAACCUAUUUUACUUCCCCAUGUUCGCUUUUUGUGUAUUCGCUGUGCUUUGGUGUGAUUUUCGUGAAAUGGCCGUGCACCGUCGAGUUGGCAGGGGUUUUCGCUCGCACCCGAGAGAAUUUUGGUGGCCGCCGGAGAAGAUAGCCAGCGGCGGUCGACGCCGGUUACUCCAGCCGGCGCUGGUAUGUGGUUUAGAUUCGGUGGAAAGCCAGCUUCAGGCGUGCAGAGGGUAAGCACGAAGGAGAAGAAGACAAAGGGGAGGAGGAAAAUAAAAUAAAAAAGUGAAAAAAUAGGGAAAGAGGAAGACAAAAGUGGGCUUCGGGAAGGAGGAGUUGUGGAAGAGAAGGUGCAGGGAAUAGGACAAAAUAGGGAAAAGAUAAAAAGAGAAAAGGAAAGAAAAAAAUAUAAAAUUUUAAAAAAUAUAGAAAAGUUUCUUUCUCAAUCCAACUAGGUCGAAUCGAGGAUUGGGUCGAGUCAGCGAGUCGGCUCCGCUUCAUCCGAACCUUUUUCCACGAAUAUAGUAAAUUUUUAAAAUAUAUUAAAAUUUUUAAAAUUCAAAAAAUUUCAGAAAAUGAAAAAAUUUAAAUUUAAAUUUUCAAAAAAUGAAAAAUAAUAAUUUAAAAAUUCUUUUAAAAAAUUCAAAAACUUUCAGAGAAUAUUAAAAAUUCAAAAAUUCAAAAAUUAAAAAAUUCUCAGAAAAUUUCAAAAUUAGGAAAAGUCUAAAAAAUUUCAGUAGUAAUUAGAAAAAUAACAAAAAAAUUCAAAAAGAUUAAAAAAACCCAGAAUUUUUUGGAAAUUUUUGAAAAUUCAAUAAAUUAAAAAUUCCUCAAAAGGUUAAAAUUAAUCUUUUAGGUUGCUUUCUCCUAAAAAGUGGAAGUGUUUUUUUUUUUUUUCAAUUUAGAAUCAUGCUUAAGGUUUACCGAGCCCAUAGAGCUCUACCUUAGGGUUUCAACUGUCUUUAGAGAUAAAUGCUCUUGAUCGUGUGAUAUUGAUACGUUGAUUUUGGCUUGCUUUUAAUAUAGUAGGAUUAGUAUUUAUCUUUUUCUUAAUGUUAAAUAUUUGCUCUCCCAGGCAAUUUAGGUAACGCUUUCUUUGGCUACUAAUUGUUGUUUUAAUAAUUGUGUACCUGCAUAAUCACUUCAUAUGUUAGUGGAUUAGUCUAAAAUUAAUCCAAAUUACUUUACAAACUUUCUUUUUUAAAAUGAACAACAUUAGGUAUCAAAAUAGCACUAAUUGGGUAAUUAGUAUAAUCAAGUCCAUAACCCUAUAUUCUCUGAUUGUGUAGAAAGUAAGGUAUAGUUCCAUGCCUCACUUGGUUUUUAGCGGACCCCAAUAAGUUAGUGGCAAAUCCUGCACCUCCCAAUGUCGCUUGAGGUAUGAGCUUGGCAUAGUUCACACCUGAUCAUUAGCCAUAGGCCUAUCUUUUAGGCAACAUUGCCUAAACCUAUUACCUCCCCCGAGAGGUAGGUCGCACACUCAUAAAGGGAAAAGCCACAAUAUCGUAUUAGCCAAUCUCUCUAAUAUCCGUAUUAACGUUCCAAAGUUAGAAUGGAAAAAUCAAGUUGCUGCACUAGGUAAUCUCUUAAUUAUCAAUAUCAGAUUAGCAUUUCAAUUAUUAAAGAUAUUACCUCAAUAUAUAAUAGAAAUUAAACCCAUAUAUAAUUAUAAUGGAAAUUACAUGUAUGCCAAUAACAACGAUAAAAGUUCUUUUCUAUAUUUUAACAUGAAAAUUACAAAUAUCUCAUUAGUUAGUUUUAUGCUUGAAUAUUACUUUCUUCAAUCUGACUCCACAGUUCCAUGGGAAACAAUGGACAUGUCAAGCCAAAACACGGAGAAAAAAUAAUGUCUGCUCUUGUAGAUCAUUCUUCCUCUUCAUGCUUCAUGCAAAACAUCGACCAAGGCAUUUACCACUUCAUCUAAUUCUCUCCCUCCUUCAUUUCCGAUGCUAUCGCUCAUUUCUUUGGCCCUCUUCCUCACGCUCUCUCCAUCUUUCUCCACUACCACACCUUUGAUCACCUUCGCUAUCUCCUCUCUCUCUAGCUCUCCGCUCUUAUUCCUCUUGACCUCUAAUCCGACCCCGACCUCUUCGACAAUCCGGGCAUUCAAAGGCUGAUCGAGUUGCAUGGGCAUCGCUAUGAUCGGUACCCCUGACUUCAUGCUUUCCAUGAUAGAGCUCCAUCCACAGUGACUCACAAACCCCCCAAUGCUUGGAUGCUCCAAUAUUUUUGUUUGCGGCGCCCAUCCUUCUCUCACCAGUCCUCUAUCUCCAACUCUUUCCAGGAACCCUGCAGGCAAUGCCUCUUCAAGCUCCAUGCUCUCUCCUAUAGGGAACCUAAUGACCCAAAUGAAGUUGACAUUACUAAGCUCCAAUCCAUAAGCAAUCUCUUCUCUUUCUUUCACGGUGAGAAAAUAUUCUGUGCCACACGAUACAAAGACACUUGAACAUUCUUCUUUUUCGUCAAGCCACUUAAUGAUGUCAUCAUUGCCACCCUCUUCACCAGGGUCUUGGACGAGUGGACCAACGGGGAUGACCUUUUUACCCACAAGACUGGAGAGGUAGUCCAAAUAUUUCCCCUCCAGCUCUCUAAAUGUCUUCAUCAAGAUGAAUCCUGAAGAUCUUCCGGCACAUUGUAGAGCCCUAUCUUUG